This 254-nucleotide ribosomal RNA is filed under the name uncultured bacterium. Its description in RNAcentral is "partial 16S ribosomal RNA". It matches the Rfam family "Bacterial small subunit ribosomal RNA", at positions 524 to 776 of the family's 1533-position model. The record is from RNAcentral.
UACGUAGGGAGCAAGCGUUGUCCGGAAUCACUGGGCGUAAAGAGCGUGUAGGCGGUCUGCCAAGUCUGUUGUGAAAGCGCCUGGCUUAACUGGGCGAGGUCGACGGAAACUGGCAAACUGGAGGCCGGUAGAGGAGGGUGGAAUUCCGGGUGGAGCGGUGAAAUGCGUAGAGAUCCGGAGGAACACCGACGGCGCAGGCAGCGUCCUGGCCGCUUGCUGACACUGAGGCACGAAAGCUGGGGGGAGCAAACAGG